UACUAGAGGGUGUCCUAGUGGCAGACGGGUGAGUAACGCGUGAACAAUGUGCCUUCUUUCUGGGGAUACCGUUUGGAAACGAACGUUAAUACCGAAUGUGCUCUAAUUGCGGCAUCGUAGUUAGAGUAAACUGUUAGGGAGAGAAGAGCAGUUCGCGUUCUAUCAGCUAGAUGGUGGGGUAACGGCCUACCAUGGCGACGACGGAUAGCUGGUCUGAGAGGAUGAUCAGCCACACUGGAACUGAGACACGGUCCAGACUCCCACGGGAGGCAGCAGUGAGGAAUCUUGCACAAUGGGCGAAAGCCUGAUGCAGCGACGCCGCGUGAGGGACGACGGCCUUCGGGUUGUAAACCUCUGUCAGUAGGGAAGAAGAUUGACGGUACCUACUGAGGAAGCUUCGGCUAACUACGUGCCAGCAGCCGCGGUAAGACGUAGGGAGCAAGCGUUGCCCGGAAUUACUGGGCGUAAAGAGCUCGUAGGCGGGGGCGUGCGUCUGAGAGGAAAUCUCAAGGCUUAACCUUGGGGCUGUCUCAGAUACGGCGCUUCUUGAGGAUGUGAGAGGAAAGUGGAAUUUCCGGUGUAGCGGUGAAAUGCGUAGAUAUCGGAAGGAACACCAGUGGCGAAGGCGACUUUCUGGCACAUUCCUGACGCUGAGGAGCGAAAGCGUGGGUAGCGAACGGGAUUAGAUACCCCGGUAGUC
This 700-nucleotide ribosomal RNA is filed under the name uncultured bacterium. RNAcentral describes it as "bacterial SSU rRNA". It matches the Rfam family "Bacterial small subunit ribosomal RNA", at positions 78 to 795 of the family's 1533-position model. The record is from RNAcentral.